Equus caballus (horse) is the source of this 1562-nucleotide non-coding RNA. NCBI's taxonomy places the organism in Eukaryota, Metazoa, Chordata, Mammalia, Perissodactyla, Equidae. The record is from RefSeq and is a predicted model, not a curated record.
UAAUUCUAAUAAAUUACCUCUCUAGUAACUUAAAUCUAGAUCUUAAUUAGAUUUAAAGUAUUUUUUUCUGUAAGAUAAAGAAAAACAAACGUUCAUUUUUCUCUCCAUUUACUUAAGACGUGUUCAAGUUUUCAUAUUUCAUGUCUGAUAAAUUGCUAGUAGAUAUUGGCUAAACCCUCUAAAACUGGUUGGUAGUAAAUUACAGAAAAAUGGGCAACCAAUAUGAAUAUUAAAAAUUCAGACAUAGAGUUGCAACCUCUUUUUAUUACAAUUCUUCUGUCUUCCAUCUAUCACUUCCCUGAUAGAACCUCUUAAUUUGUCAUUCUACUGAACCAGAUUACAGUAUCUUCCCCUUUAAUGAAAACAACGUUUCCAUUCACUAGAUGAUGUAGCUGUUACAUAAGCAUUCCUUAGCAUAAAUGAAGCAAAGACACGUUUGAUUCAUCAAUAGAGGAGCUGAUACAGAAAAACAGAAGCAACCAUGGAAAGGCAAAUUGCAGUUUUCAAGUCAGACUCAUAAGAUGAAUCCUUCGAGAAAGCAGUAUCAGUGUGCACCAGUGGGAGCUACGUGGAGGACUAAGAAUAAAAAUCUCCGGAUCAGCCUAGUUGUUCCUAAAAGCAGUCUCGUCAACCCUGAGGCAUAGGGUGUGGAACACAGGAUUAUGAAAUUUCAAAGAUCGAUAAGGGAAUUCACUUUUGUUUCUGGGAACUUGAGGCUUCUGAACACAAAGAACAACAAAAUAGCUCAGCCUCAGUCCGAGGAAUUUCUUUCCUACAAUUGUCUGAUUCUUUUAGAACAAGGACCAACAAAUCGUGUGAUCCUAAACAGGCCUGCGUUUCCACCUCUACAAAACGAGGGAAAUUGAUCAGACGACCUGCAAGAUACCUCCUAAGUCUUAAAUUUUACCAUUCUGUUACUUUUCCCACUCUGAAUAAGAUUAGAAGGAACAGGGUCAAAAUGCAACAGGAAGCAAUGAUUUAAUUGAACAGACAUUCGUUGGUCGUCUAUUAUUGGCUUAGGUUCUGUGCUAGCUCUAGAGUCGGGCAUAGGUGGGACAUGGUGUCUGCUCACAGCCCAGGAAAGAAGGUGCAUGUGAAAGCAAACAACUUUAACAAAGGACUACAUGCAGGAAUAAGAAUUCAAGUGCAAGAGUGGCGGGAGACGAGAACUGACCAAAAAGACAGGGGUUAUAACAUGACGGCAAUGGCCCUUGAAUUUUCAGCAAGGAAAACGUGUGAUCAGAGUUGAGCUUAAACAAGUAACAGUCCAAGGUGUACAGAGGAAAUUGUGAUGAGCCAGCUAGACAUGCACUUAUUUAUUCAGACACUUCUUGAGUACCCACUGUGUUAGAUAAGGAAAAACUUCUUGCUCUGAUUUUACGGAUGAGACGUGGAAAAUGUAUUAUAUUUAACUUUUUUUUUAAGGAAGGGAAAUGGUGUCUGCCCAGGCUCUCUAAAGGGGCAAGAAUAAAGGAGUCUUCCAGUUUUUUUUCCUGCCCAAUGGUUUUGUUACAUCAUAUUCCCUUUCCUUCAGGAUAAUAAACCAGCUGUUUAAAGUUAAA